AUGGUAGCAGUUUGGUAGCUCGUCGGGCUCAUAACCCGAAGGUCGUGGGUUCAAAUCCCUCUCCC
This 65-nucleotide transfer RNA is filed under the name chicken gut metagenome. It matches the Rfam family "tRNA", at positions 7 to 64 of the family's 71-position model. Rfam says of the family: Transfer RNA (tRNA) molecules are approximately 80 nucleotides in length. Their secondary structure includes four short double-helical elements and three loops (D, anti-codon, and T loops). The record is from RNAcentral.